Cephus cinctus (wheat stem sawfly) is the source of this 4447-nucleotide long non-coding RNA. RefSeq lists it as uncharacterized. Lineage: Eukaryota; Metazoa; Arthropoda; Insecta; Hymenoptera; Cephidae. The record is from RefSeq and is a predicted model, not a curated record. The transcript is spliced from 5 exons.
GGCCAAGUUCGCCGAUCGUUCGGGAGAAGUCGGGAACGCUCGCUUCCAGCCGAAGUAUUGAUCGACUCUGGUAAUGGCGGCUGUGAGCCUGGGUGGGGCAGGCACACGGGCGUCCCGGGACAAGAUCAAAAUGACACUCGAGGAUCGGAUAACGCCUAUUGUUUUAUACGCGUCCAUAUAAAACAGUACACUCUGCCUAUCUUAACCGAGAGCUCAUUCAAAGUCUGAUAAUACAGAACUCAUUUUUAAUUGAGCGACUACAGCGAAUAACUGGAUCCUUUGUACGGGUGAUAUCGCUUAUCAAAUCAAUUAAUCAAAUUGGUUCACCAUCUACGCUUCUGUUACCUUGCGUCCGUUACUCAACACAAGCAACACGCUCAGAGACCAGUCCCGGUAAGGCGUUAGAGCCUACGCACAUUUAUUUCCGCGAUUUUACCUCACGGCUAACCUACGUGAAUACUAAAUCCAAUCACUUGGCGACUAUAAACGAUCAAAGCUAAGUUGACCGGAUUCGAACUAGACAAUUAUACUUAUCCUUCCCUCUCACCUUUAAUAUACACCUCGUUCACCCUGUAUUGCGUAAGUAACAAAUCUCAACGUUGAUCAGCAUUUCAAAACUUCAAAAAAAAAAGUAACAGUGGGUAAGGUGGCAAGAUUUGGAAGGAAUUAACGUGUGGCCGACCAGACAAAGUGACGUCAUAGCUGUUAUCAAGAUAAGUCUGUCCUGGAGAAGAUACCCGACGGGCGACGAUACAAGUAAAACGUCCGGCGUUAUAUUAAGAAUUGGAUAGGACCUAGAGAAUCACAAAUGACCUCGCCCAGCUGGAUUAAAAUAACCAGGAAAAAUUACGAGGCCACGAGGUUCGACCAAAGUCUCGGAAAAUGAAAAUGGACCAGUGGAUAAGUUUCUUUUCACAGGAGACCAUGUCGGCGGAAGUGCGCAAUGUACGUGAAGAAGGUUGAAGGGAAUGACAAAAGUUAUUUAAGAGGAUAAUGCAAGUGCAAUGGCUUGAUGCACUUCCAGUUAAGAGUGCACUUGGUAGGUUGAAGAAGAAAAUAAAGGGAGGCCCUUGAGGGAAUAAAGAGGUCCGAGGAUCGAACAGAGGAAAGUACUGCGUGUCCCCAUUGAGUUGAGUUUGUUUGGCAAUGAGAAAGGGAGCGAAUUGUCAAAGUAAUUUUAAAAAUGGACACGAUCGAUCAAAAGGCGCGAAUAUUUGAAUUAGUAGCAUGGCUUUAGGCGAGUUAGCCGAGCUUGUCCUACGUGAGUACCACUUUGUUGCAGAUGAACUUUUUUCUGUUAGACAAAAAAAAAUAUAAAAACUUGAUAAAUUGAAAGGGCGUGGACACUGAGGGACCGAAAAACAGUUACCAGAUAAAUUGGCAAGAACGAGCUGGCAGUAACGUAACAAGAAAUCACGUUUACCAAAGCAUUGACGAUACCAUCAAAGCACGAGUAAUAUCCUUUGAGGGUCUUUUAGUGUAUACGCAGGAUAUUUUUUUACCAUUUACUCGUCGUCCUCCCCUUUUCGAUUCAGAAGACGCCAAUGCCAGAUCGAAGAAAUUUUCAGGGGGUUCAGGAUUCUCUCUUUCCGUCUCUAACGAGCACGAGGGCUUUCUCAAAACCCUUCAGACCUUCAAAUUGAACUGGAUUUCCCAAGAUUGAUUUAUCUGGACGUGAAUUAGAAACUUUUGAAAUUUUACGAACCACCAAGUAUUUUCAGUAUUAGUGCCAGAGGGACAAUUUCAUCUAUUUAACGACAGUGUCAAUUGAAAAAUAAUAUAUACGUAUAAAAAUAAGAUAAAAAUAGUAUACACGUAUUUGCAUACAUACAUGAAUAUUUAAAUACGUGACAACAAUCAAGCGGCAAUAAUACAUUAGAGAACAAUGUGAAGUCAAACCUGUCAAAUGACAUACGGACCAGACAUAAGAUUUUCCAAAAAAAUUCUCUUGACAAUGAAAUCCAAAUGGAAAAUCAAAUGAAAAACAGUACCAGAGUCUUGUUUACGCAAGAUACCCAAAACGUUGGACACAUUAAGAUUUUUUUCCCCAUGAAAAAAUAUUGAAGAAAUCGAUCAGGCGCACACGUGGUGUCUCUACGUGACAUUUCAAGCGGUUCGGUCGGCUUUGCCAGCCAGUCUAGUGUAAUGGCCAAAGUGUUCUCGUUGAGCGGCCCACGCAGUCUCGACAUUCAUCUACGGACCUGAGCUCUCAUUGAACCUCAACCAAGGGUCCUCAGGAACUUCUUUCCCAUAAAUAUUUCCGGACUCUCUUGGGUCUGAGGUUGAGAAACGUCUAACAAAAAAGAAGAAAAAAACCCCCAGUGAGGACACCAAGCAUCAGUCUACAGCAAGCGCUGCUUCUCAUAGAAUCUGCGCAGUUAGGGCAGCUGUGCCUUUAGAACGAAGGUGUAAAGAAUUCGAGCGGGUCGAUGGAUGCUGACAGUCAUCCAGGUCAUGGGAGGUACACGUCCACUCUGAACAUGGACACUGAUAAUCAUCCGACUUGAGGAUAUCAAAUGUUGCUGACAAAAGUACCAUUAAAAAAAAAAAAAAGCCCGAUCCAAAAUUUCGAAAUUCAAAUUACAUCAACCAUUCAACAUUCACUAUACCCAUAUGCCUCUUACUACUUUCGAGUGCCCGCAGCCAGCAAGCUCAGCAUACGCAGGGUGGGAAUUUUUCUAAGUUGAAACAAAGAAAGAAGAGGGUCCGACUAAGCCUACAGGACCUGCCUUAUCUCGUGGGAUACGCUAAUGAGACAAAAGGGGGUUCCUGAAGGACGAGAGAGAGAUGUACGGGAGCGAGCGAGAGGCCCUUAUGCGGGGAUACAAUGGCAGGUGAAGGAGUGAGUGAAAAGAAGAAUACUGUGGGAUACAAGCGAGAGAAGGACAGUUGAGACCAAGGAACAGGAUUGAAGUUGGAUGAAGGAUGGGGGGGGGGGCGUAGGGGGGCUGGCAAGGCUGAAAUGAAAUAUUGAUCUGCGGAGGCGCGCGCAACCCCUGCAACCGACCCGCCCGUUUCCACCAUUUUUCUCAAGUACUUCCUACCCCGCACAUGUCCGAAUAAAGUAAUCGAAUAGCCAUCUGGUUUAUUGGCGUCUUGGAAGAUGGUACAAAAAAUUUUUUUUUUUUAUUCCUAUCAAACCUGUACUCAAAACUACCCAUAAAAAAAUAUCCAAAAUACGUUUCCUUUUUGAACGCUAUUUUUGUAUAGUCCACAUAAAAAAAAAUCUUCAAUGGAAUACCACUGUCUAUCCCGAAUAAAGUAUUCAAACCCCCCCACCGCCAUUCAAUAUAUCAUUCAUUUACUAUACUUAUGAAUCAAUAAUUAUCAACCAAUAUCGUUAUCAGGAUUUCCAUUAAAAAUCAUUCAAGGCUCCAUUUAAGGGACUAUGAAUAAUCUGAGAUCAUUAACACGGGUCUAAGGGUACUGUGCAAUUAUAAUCCCUGUCUGAAAUUUCAACCCCCCCCUACUCCCCAAAGAAAAGCCUCAUAAUCUCAAUGCUAAUACAAAAUUAAUUUCGAAUAAAAAUAUCAAACUAAAUUAUUGAUUAAUCUCCGUACAAGCGUCAUUAAGAAUUUUCACGCCUGAUAGACUUUCAGUAAAUACACUUUUCUUAUUUGAUAUCAGCUAAUUAAUACGCCAGCCGAAUGUCCCUUCGUCCCUUCUCAAUUAAGGAAGGCUUAAGGCAAGUUUCUACGGAGGACUCAGACCAACCGUGAAUGUCCGUUCAGAUGUGAGCGAUAUUGUCAUCCAAGUAUUACCAAAAGCGAAAUAGCAAGCCGAGGUUCCUUAAUGGCUACGGUCGUUAUUAAGCUAGACAUGAUUAUCGGGGCUGAAGGGUCGGUAAAGAAGAUCCCGAUGAAUUUGCAUGUUACCAUGCGAGCAGAAGGAUAACACAAGUAUAAACGCUUAAUUACGACCGAGUUUUAUUUUUCCUAGAUUGGCCAGCGUGUUAUCGAGCACUUUCUCUCGAAGAUCGAUUACGCGUUGCAGUACCAGUGCGCGCCGAAUUGACCAGCAGACGCGCAAUGAUAACGACCAUGAAAGCGAUUAAAUAUAAUUUUUAAAUCUAAUGCCAAAAAAACAAAUUGACCGAUAAUAAUUAUCACGAUUCAAGUACCUAUAAUUAAUUACAGUAAAUUUGACUAACGUCGUUUCUUCGGCACUAUUAUUUUUUACUAGUUAACACUGACAGGCACCUGGGCAGGAAUUCAAUUAAUCAAAGAUCGACCGGACUGAUAAUCAUAUAAGAAUCAAUCAAUCAAAAUAUUCCAGCUAAUAGAAUUCCAUAAAUUCGUAUAGCAUUAAUAAUCUCCGUAUAAGUAUACAAGCAUACUGCCAGUGUAUUACGUAACCGGAAACCCGUUUCUGACAAUCUCUCGCAUCAUCUACAAGAUACAUCCGAAGACAGAGAGACAGACAAAGACAAAAAAAAAGUAUUCCUUUU